Molecule: small nuclear RNA, 182 nt
Filed under: Myotis brandtii (Brandt's bat)
Lineage: Eukaryota; Metazoa; Chordata; Mammalia; Chiroptera; Vespertilionidae
Description: U2 spliceosomal RNA
Rfam family: U2 spliceosomal RNA
About the family: U2 is a small nuclear RNA (snRNA) component of the spliceosome (involved in pre-mRNA splicing). Complementary binding between U2 snRNA (in an area lying towards the 5' end but 3' to hairpin I) and the branchpoint sequence (BPS) of the intron results the bulging out of an unpaired adenosine, on the BPS, which initiates a nucleophilic attack at the intronic 5' splice site, thus starting the first of two transesterification reactions that mediate splicing.
Source: Rfam by way of RNAcentral
AAAACAGGCCUUUUGGCUAAGAUCGAGUAGUAUGUUCUUAUCAGUUUAAUAUCUGAUAUGUCCUCUAUCUGAGGACUUUAUAGUAAAUGUAUUUUUGGAGCAGGAGAUGGAAUAGGAGCUUGCUCCGUCCACUCCACGCAUUGACCUGGUAUUGCAGUACCUCUGGGAAUGGUGCAAAAACA